Molecule: ribosomal RNA, 497 nt
Filed under: uncultured bacterium
Lineage: Bacteria
Description: partial 16S ribosomal RNA
Rfam family: Bacterial small subunit ribosomal RNA
Source: RNAcentral
GACGAACGCUGGCGGCGUGCCUAAUACAUGCAAGUAGAACGCUGAAGCGAGGAGCUUGCUCUUCUUGGAUGAGUUGCGAACGGGUGUGUAACGCGUAGGUAACCUGCCUUGUAGCGGGGGAUAACUAUUGGAAACGAUAGCUAAUACCGCAUAACAAUGGAUGACACAUGUCAUUUAUUUGAAAGGGGCAAUUGUUCCACUACAAGAUGGACCUGCGUUGUAUUAGCUAGUAGGUGAGGUAAUGGCUCACCUAGGCGACGAUACAUAGCCGAACUGAGAGGGUGAUCGGCCACACUGGGACGGAGACACGGCCCAGACGCCUACGGGAGGCAGCAGUAGGGAAUCGUCGGCAAUGGGUGCAACCCUGACCGAGCAACGCCGCGUGAGUGAAGAAGGUUUUCGGAUCGUAAAGCUCUGUUGUAAGUCAAGAACGGGUGUGAGAGUGGAAAGUUCACACUGUGACGGUAGCUUACCAGAAAGGGACGGCUAACUACGUG